GGGGUUGUGGCUCAGUGGUAGAGCACUCACCUAGCACAUGCGAAGUGCUGGGUUUGAUCCUCAGCACCACA
Molecule: transfer RNA, 71 nt
Filed under: Marmota monax (woodchuck)
Lineage: Eukaryota; Metazoa; Chordata; Mammalia; Rodentia; Sciuridae
Description: tRNA.Ala
Source: RNAcentral